AGCCAUAUUCAUCAAUCACUGUCAUAGGGAAUUGUAAAAUUAUUUGCAUUUCUAGUCUUUAUAGCUGUAAUUGAUGAUAGCUAAUUACGAUGCAUCCGUUAUACGCGAUGGCUCUGCAACAAAAACAUGAAAUCACUUGCCCUCACUGAAUCUAAACUUACUAGAUCAUGUACCCAUUAUUGUUGAUUUUCCUUAAUUAUUCUUUUAUUUUAGGUUUGAUGUCUUUUGGACGACUGAAUCUCACAUAUCCCUUUCCUCGAAUGAUGGAUGUGUACACAUUUUUAAUGGUCGUCGAUCAUUGGGUGCGAGACCUCCCCCCUAUCUCUCUCACACGGCACUUGUGAUUAUCUCUGCAACUCUUGGACUCUGAAAGAAGAAGAAGAAGUAAGGGAAAUCAUGUACAAAUGAAAAGUCUCUUUUAUUCCCAGCGCAUACGUCUAAUAGGUAUGUUUUGAUUUUAUUCUAUUAAGUUUAAUCUGUUGUAUAUCAAACCCAACUGAGUCUUAUACCCAAGGAUAUUCGUACAUCACCGACCCGAACUUGUGUCUCGUAUACGAGUCUAUUGAAGCCAUUAAUGGUGCUCUGUCCGGUCUGUCCCUGACAUCUUUUAUGAUCUAUGCCACCCAACUGGGGACGACGUCCACUGCGACUUCCAUUCAAGGAUUGAUUUCAGCGACCUACUUCGGACUAGGGGCUGGAAUCGGAAGCUCGGUCGGCCGAGUCCUGAUCGGAGCGUUCGGCAAGCGAGUGGUUUUCCGCAUUUUGGGAGUCAUCGCUUUCCUCACUGGAUUCCUCUACUUCCUCUUUAAUAUUUUUUACUUGCGUCCAAAGGCCAAUGAAAAAAUAACACUACCGUUGACAAGACUGAUUCAAGUGUAAACGUGAAGGUCGAAGAAAUUCAGUGACAUUCAACGUCCGUUAGUCUUUUUAUAGCAAACAGCAUCUAAGCAAACUUCUCUCCUAUAAGCCAUUAAAUUGGUCGUUAAUUGACUAACUUUUUGACUAAACAUUUUUUUAGCUCAUUUACAGAUUGAAGCCUAUGAAAUAUUUAGAAUUUUAAAGACUAAAAGAAUUUCAGUUAUUGUCAUAAUAAUUUAAUAAAUCAAUAUAUAAGAAGUGUCAGUAUAUUUAUUUUUUGUUUACCCUUUUGACCAAGUGGGUAACAUCGCGUCGCUUCCAUCUUCUAGAAUCCAGUAGUUUUCGGGACUUCCCUGAAUCGGACCAAUCUUCAAUUAGUAACGCCAUCGGUCCUCUUCGGUCCUCACCAUCGGUCCUCACCAUCGGUCCUCUUCGGUUCACGCCAUCGAUCCUCUUCGGUCCUCGCCAUCGGGCCUCUUCUUUCCUCGCCAACGGCCCUCUUCGGUCCUCACCAUCGCUUCAGGGAAACAUAAACCGGUCACAAAAUCGUGCUUCAAUAAGCUGGAUAGAAUAACGAUGCUUA
Molecule: long non-coding RNA, 1441 nt
Filed under: Daphnia pulex (common water flea)
Lineage: Eukaryota; Metazoa; Arthropoda; Branchiopoda; Diplostraca; Daphniidae
Description: uncharacterized LOC124200752, transcript variant X3
Source: RNAcentral